GGAGAGGUGCCAGAGUGGACGAUCGGGGCGGUCUCGAAAACCGCUGUGGUAAUACCACCGGGGGUUCGAAUCCCUCCCUCUCCG
Molecule: transfer RNA, 84 nt
Filed under: Thermodesulfovibrio aggregans
Lineage: Bacteria; Pseudomonadati; Nitrospirota; Thermodesulfovibrionia; Thermodesulfovibrionales; Thermodesulfovibrionaceae
Description: tRNA-Ser
Rfam family: tRNA
About the family: Transfer RNA (tRNA) molecules are approximately 80 nucleotides in length. Their secondary structure includes four short double-helical elements and three loops (D, anti-codon, and T loops).
Source: RNAcentral